Molecule: ribosomal RNA, 431 nt
Filed under: uncultured bacterium
Lineage: Bacteria
Description: partial 16S ribosomal RNA
Rfam family: Bacterial small subunit ribosomal RNA
Source: RNAcentral
AACGAACGCUGGCGGCAGGCUUAACACAUGCAAGUCGAUCGCCCCGCAAGGGGAGCGGCGGACGGGUGAGUAACGCGUGGGAACGUACCUUUUGGUUCGGAACAACUCCGGGAAACUGGAGCUAAUACCGGAUAAGCCCUAACGGGGAAAGAUUUAUCGCCGAAAGAUCGGCCCGCGUCUGAUUAGCUAGUUGGUGAGGUAACGGCUCACCAAGGCGACGAUCAGUAGCUGGUCUGAGAGGAUGAUCAGCCACACUGGGACUGAGACACGGCCCAGACUCCUACGGGAGGCAGCAGUGGGGAAUAUUGGACAAUGGGCGAAAGCCUGAUCCAGCCAUGCCGCGUGAGUGAUGAAGGCCUUAGGGUUGUAAAGCUCUUUUGUCCGGGAAGAUAAUGACUGUACCGGAAGAAUAAGCCACGGCUAACUUCGUG